AUAGCUGGUUCUCUCCGAAAUAGCUUUAGGGCUAGCCUCGCAAAGAGGAUGCUGGAGGUAGAGCUCUGUUUGGACUAGGGGCCCGUCAAGGGUUACUGAAUUCAGAUAAACUGCGAAUUCCAGACAUUUAUGUGCGGGAGUCAGACUGCGAGUGAUAAGAUCCGUAGUCGAAAGGGAAACAGCCCAGAUCACCAGUUAAGGUCCCAAAAUUCAUGCUAAGUGGAAAAGGAUGUGGAGUUGCGCAGACAACUAGGACGUUGGCUCAGAAGCAGCCAUCAUUCAAAGAGUGCGUAAUAGCUCACUAGUCGAGUGACGCCGCGCCGAAAAUUUACCGGGGCUAAGCAUGAUACCGAAACUGUGGAUGUGCGUUUAUGCACGUGGUAGGAGAGCGUUCUAGCGGCGGUGAAGCAUGACCGAGAGGACAUGUGGAGCUUCUAGAAGUGAGAAUGCCGGUAUGAGUAACGAAAGACAGGUGAGAAUCCUGUCCGCCGCAAGACUAAGGUUUCCUGGGGCAGGCUCGUCCGCCCAGGGUAAGUCGGGACCUAAGGCGAGGCCGAGAGGCGUAGUCGAUGGACAACAGGUUGAAAUUCCUGUACUGCACCGAAUCGUUAUGAGCGAUGGAGGGACGCAGGAGGCUAGCAGCGCGUGGUGCUGGAUACCACGUUCAAGCGUCAAGUCUGAGAGUGAGUCAAAUGCUUGCUCUCAUAAGGACAAGGCGUGAUGAGGAGCGAAAUUAAAGUAGCGAAGGCUGCGACGUCACACUGCCGAGAAAAGCUUCUAGCCAGAGACGGUGCACCCGUACCGCAAACCGACACAGGUAGUCGAGGAGAGUAUCCUCAGGUGAGCGAGAGAACUCUCGUUAAGGAACUCGGCAAAAUGGCCCCGUAACUUCGGGAGAAGGGGCGCUGGUCGCAAGAUCAGCCGCAGUGAAAAGGCCCAAGCAACUGUUUAUCAAAAACACAGGCAUCUGCAAAAUCGUAAGAUGAAGUAUAGGUGCUGACACCUGCCCGGUGCUGGAAGGUUAAGAGGAGAGCUUAGCGCAAGCGAAGGUUUGAAUUGAAGCCCCAGUAAACGGCGGCCGUAACUAUAACGGUCCUAAGGUAGCGAAAUUCCUUGUCGGGUAAGUUCCGACCUGCACGAAAGGUGUAAUGAUUUGGGCACUGUCUCAACGAGAGACUCGGUGAAAUUAUAAUACCCGUGAAGAUGCGGGUUACCCGCGACAGGACGGAAAGACCCCAUGGAGCUUUACUGCAGUUUAAUAUUGGGUAUCUGUCAAGCAUGUACAGGAUAGGUAGGAGCCGGAGAAGAUAGGACGCCAGUCUUAUCAGAGGCGCUGUUGGGAUACUACCCUUGCUUGACGGAUGCUCUAACUCAGGCCUGUGAUCCAGGCCGAGGACAGUGUUUGACGGGCAGUUUGACUGGGGCGGUCGCCUCCUAAAGUGUAACGGAGGCGCCCAAAGGUUCCCUCAGAAUGGUUGGAAAUCAUUCGCAGAGUGUAAAGGUAAAAGGGAGCUUGACUGCGAGAGAGACAACUCGAGCAGGUACGAAAGUAGGGCUUAGUGAUCUGGUGGUACCGUAUGGAAGGGCCAUCACUCAACGGAUAAAAGCUACCCUGGGGAUAACAGGCUUAUCUCCCCCAAGAGUUCACAUCGACGGGGAGGUUUGGCACCUCGAUGUCGGCUCGUCGCAUCCUGGGGCUGAAGUCGGUCCCAAGGGUUGGGCUGUUCGCCCAUUAAAGCGGCACGCGAGCUGGGUUCAGAACGUCGUGAGACAGUUCGGUCCCUAUCCGUCGUGGGCGUAGGAAAUUUGAGAGGAGCUGUCCUUAGUACGAGAGGACCGGGAUGGACGCACCGCUGGUGUACCAGUUGUCUUGCCAAAGGCAUCGCUGGGUAGCUAUGUGCGGACGGGAUAAGCGCUGAAAGCAUCUAAGUGCGAAGCCCCCCUCAAGAUGAGAUUUCCCAUUUCUUCAAGAAAGUAAGACACCUCAGAGACGAUGAGGUAGAUAGGCCGGGAGUGGAAGAGCCGUGAGGCUUGGAGCGGACCGGUACUAAUCAGUCGAGGACUUGACCAAAA
Molecule: ribosomal RNA, 2073 nt
Filed under: Lactobacillus delbrueckii subsp. bulgaricus
Lineage: Bacteria; Bacillati; Bacillota; Bacilli; Lactobacillales; Lactobacillaceae
Description: partial 23S ribosomal RNA
Rfam family: Bacterial large subunit ribosomal RNA
Source: RNAcentral